Molecule: ribosomal RNA, 367 nt
Filed under: uncultured bacterium
Lineage: Bacteria
Description: bacterial SSU rRNA
Rfam family: Bacterial small subunit ribosomal RNA
Source: RNAcentral
GACGAACGCUGGCGGCGUGCUUAACACAUGCAAGUCGAGCGGAAAGGCCCUUCGGGGUACUCGAGCGGCGAACGGGUGAGUAACACGUGAGUAACCUGCCCUGGACUUUGGGAUAACCCUCGGAAACGGGGGCUAAUACCGGAUAUUACUUCCUCUCGCAUGGGGGGGUGGUGGAAAGUUUUUCGGUCUGGGAUGGGCUCGCGGCCUAUCAGCUUGUUGGUGGGGUGAUGGCCUACCAAGGCGACGACGGGUAGCCGGCCNGAGAGGGCGACCGGCCACACUGGGACUGAGACACGGCCCAGACUCCUACGGGAGGCAGCAGUGGGGAAUAUUGCACAAUGGGGCGAAGCCUGAUGCAGCGACGCCG